CCCCAAGCAUCACCAUCCACCACCUCUACAACCAGGAGACCUUCUCCCGGCCACCAUUCACCACCGCAUCAUCACUCUAUCCAGCACCGUCACACCACACCAAAACCACCACUCGAGCCACCCACGUCUGAACCCCCAUAUUUGAACCACUAUCACCACAUAUCUGAAAUCGCAUUCAAAACAGAUCUGAAAUCGCGUUCAGAUCUACAAUCACCUACCUCCACCCCUCAACAACCGCCUCCACUGUCUCCAACCACCACCUCCACCGUCUCCAAGCAUAGCCUUCACACAUCAUGCCCGACACCCAGCGCCUGAACCCAUCACAGAUUGGCCAGAAAUGGCUACCUACAGUUGUGGUGGUGGUGGUUGGUUAUAGAAGAUGGUGCUGAGUUAAGGAAAGAGGGAUCAAUGAUUUUUGGGGGUCUGUUAAACAAUUUUUGCCUACCUCCAUGCCUGCAGCCCAACACCACCGUAUGUCACCACUUGCAAUUACACUAAAUCAUACCUAGAUAUCUAAAAUUAAAGAAUAAACAGAUCUGUAGAAGUUAUAUGGAGAGAAGUUAUAGAACUGUUCGUCGGAGGUGGUGGGUGUAGCUGAACUGUUCGCCGGAGGUAGGGUGGUUGUUAAUACUUCCGCUACUGCAGGGUACUUCCGUUGUUACAGAUCGUUGUUGAUUUUGUUUGUAAUGGUUUGUUCCUUGAGGAUCUGUGGAUAUGUCUGCUGCCAACUACAACUCGUCGCUGCCACCUCACCCCGACUUCCGAUUUUAAAAGGUUAUCGCUAGUGAUGAUGUUGUGGUGUUGUAGGUUCGAAGGUGACCGGAACUGGUGGUGGACGGUGGUACUAUGUCGGGUUAAGAAGAUGAAGAAGAAUGGGAUGUAACGGUAUAUACGUCAUUUCACACCCACCUAACUGGA
Molecule: long non-coding RNA, 918 nt
Organism: Helianthus annuus (common sunflower)
Lineage: Eukaryota; Viridiplantae; Streptophyta; Magnoliopsida; Asterales; Asteraceae
Exons: 2
Source: RefSeq, a predicted model, not a curated record